AGCUUGUUGGUGGGGUGAUGGCCUACCAAGGCGACGACGGGUAGCCGGCCUGAGAGGGCGACCGGCCACACUGGGACUGAGACACGGCCCAGACUCCUACGGGAGGCAGCAGUGGGGAAUAUUGCACAAUGGGCGCAAGCCUGAUGCAGCGACGCCGCGUGAGGGAUGACGGCCUUCGGGUUGUAAACCUCUUUCAGCAGGGAAGAAGCCUUGGCCUUUUGGUUGGGGUGACGGUACUUGCAGAAGAAGCACCGGCUAACUACGUGCCAGCAGCCGCGGUAAUACGUAGGGUGCGAGCAUUGUCCGGAAUUAUUGGGCGUAAAGAGCUCGUAGGCGG
RNAcentral lists this ribosomal RNA (337 nucleotides) under Wenjunlia vitaminophila. RNAcentral's name for it is "bacterial SSU rRNA". It matches the Rfam family "Bacterial small subunit ribosomal RNA", at positions 243 to 578 of the family's 1533-position model. The record is from RNAcentral. Lineage: Bacteria; Bacillati; Actinomycetota; Actinomycetes; Kitasatosporales; Streptomycetaceae.